RNAcentral lists this ribosomal RNA (429 nucleotides) under Chloroflexota bacterium. RNAcentral describes it as "Chloroflexi bacterium partial 16S ribosomal RNA". It matches the Rfam family "Bacterial small subunit ribosomal RNA", at positions 355 to 776 of the family's 1533-position model. The record is from RNAcentral. Lineage: Bacteria; Bacillati; Chloroflexota.
UGGGGAAUAUUGCACAAUGGGCGCAAGCCUGAUGCAGCCAUGCCGCGUGUAUGAAGAAGGCCUUCGGGUUGUAAAGUACUUUCAGUCGGGAGGAAGGUGGUAAGGUUAAUAACCUUAUCAAUUGACGUUACCGACAGAAGAAGCACCGGCUAACUCCGUGCCAGCAGCCGCGGUAAUACGGAGGGUGCAAGCGUUAAUCGGAAUUACUGGGCGUAAAGCGCACGCAGGCGGUCUGUCAAGUCGGAUGUGAAAUCCCCGGGCUCAACCUGGGAACUGCAUUCGAAACUGGCAGGCUCGAGUCUUGUAGAGUGGGGUAGAAUUCCAGGUGUAGCGGUGAAAUGCGUAGAGAUCUGGAGGAAUACCGGUGGCGAAGGCGGCCCCCUGGACAAAGACUGACGCUCAGGUGCGAAAGCGUGGGGAGCAAACAGG